AUUGAACGCUGGCGGCGUGCUUAACACAUGCAAGUCGAGCGGUAAGGCCCUUUCGGGGGUACACGAGCGGCGAACGGGUGAGUAACACGUGGGUGACCUGCCCUCAGCUCUGGGAUAAGCCUGGGAAACCGGGUCUAAUACCGGAUAUGACUCCAUGACGCAUGUUGUGGGGUGGAAAGCCUUGUGCGGCUGAGGAUGGGCCCGCGGCCUAUCAGCUUGUUGGUGGGGNGAUGGCCUACCAAGGCGACGACGGGUAGCCGGCCUGAGAGGGCGACCGGCCACACUGGGACUGAGACACGGCCCAGACUCCUACGGGAGGCAGCAGUGGGGAAUCUUGCGCAAUGGGCGAAAGCCUGACGCAGCGACGCCGCGU
RNAcentral lists this ribosomal RNA (373 nucleotides) under uncultured bacterium. RNAcentral describes it as "bacterial SSU rRNA". It matches the Rfam family "Bacterial small subunit ribosomal RNA", at positions 28 to 402 of the family's 1533-position model. The record is from RNAcentral.